GACGAACGCUGGCGGCGUGCUUAACACAUGCAAGUCGAACGGAAAGGCCCUGCUUGCCGGGUACUCGCGUGGCGAACGGGUGAGUAACACGUGGGUGAUCUGCCCUGCACUUCGGGAUAAGCCUGGGCAACUGGGUCUAAUACCGGCUAGGAGCCAUUUUUAGUGUGAUGGUUGGAAAGUUUUUUCGGUGUAGGCUGAGCUCGCGGCCUAUCUGCUUGUUGGGGGGGUAAUGGCCUACCAAGGCGGCGGCGGGUAGCGGGCCUGAGGGGGUGGCCGGCGACAUAGGGGCCGAGGGAAGGCCGAAGUAGCGAAGGGAGGGAGCAGGGGGGAAGAUUGAACAAGGGGCGCAAGGCGGAUGAAGAGAGGCCGCGUGGGGGAAGACGGUGUUAGGGUUGUAAACCAAAUGCGUAAGGGACGAAGCAUGUUGUGACGGUACCUAGAUAAGAAGCACCGGCUAACUACGUG
Molecule: ribosomal RNA, 465 nt
Filed under: uncultured bacterium
Lineage: Bacteria
Description: partial 16S ribosomal RNA
Rfam family: Bacterial small subunit ribosomal RNA
Source: RNAcentral